UUCCAGUGCCCCCCAAAGGGUGAUAUUAUCCACUUUGGGAACCUAUGAAAGAUGAUGACUGGACCCAUGAAUUUAGAGAGAGAAGAUUGUUGGGCAUAUAGGCUUCUGAGCUAACUUCUGAGCUUAUUCUCUAAGGGAAGAUUCCAAGGAAAAUGAAUGUGAUGUGUCCUGUGAUUGGGAAGCCUGGGGCAAGAAACAAAGCCCACCACACUGGGAC
Phascolarctos cinereus (koala) is the source of this 217-nucleotide non-coding RNA. Lineage: Eukaryota; Metazoa; Chordata; Mammalia; Diprotodontia; Phascolarctidae. The record is from RefSeq and is a predicted model, not a curated record.